RNAcentral lists this ribosomal RNA (497 nucleotides) under uncultured bacterium. RNAcentral's name for it is "partial 16S ribosomal RNA". It matches the Rfam family "Bacterial small subunit ribosomal RNA", at positions 28 to 507 of the family's 1533-position model. The record is from RNAcentral.
GAUGAACGCUGGCGGCGUGCCUAAUACAUGCAAGUCGAGCGAACAGACCAUGCUUUUGCUCCUCUCUCGUUUGCGGCGGGCGUGUGAGUCACACGUGUAUCCCCUACCUAUCUGACUGGUAUCACUACGAGACUCCGGCUCUUACCCCAUAUGAUAUACUGCACCACGUUGUUCAUUAGUAAGUGUCGGCUUUUCUGUCACGUCUAGCUGCAUCCCGGCCGCUUUAGCUAGUUGUUACGGUAACGGCUUACCACGGCGACGAUGCGUAGCCGACCUGAGAGGGUGAUAGGCCACACGGGAACGGAGACACGGUCCAGACUACUACGGGAGGCAGCAGUAGGGAAUCUGACGCAAUGGGCGAAAGCCUGACGGAGCAAGGCCGCGUGAGUGAUGAAGGUCUUCGGAUCGUAAAACUCGGUUAUUAGGGAAGAACAGAUGUGUAAGGAAACAAGGACGUCUUGACGGUAACGAAUCAGAAAGCAACGGCUAACUACGUG